This is a long non-coding RNA of Melitaea cinxia (Glanville fritillary), 417 nucleotides long. RefSeq lists it as uncharacterized. Lineage: Eukaryota; Metazoa; Arthropoda; Insecta; Lepidoptera; Nymphalidae. The transcript is spliced from 2 exons. The record is from RefSeq and is a predicted model, not a curated record.
AAUCUGUGCCCAACAAAUCGUACGUGUGCAUUUAUAAUCGUCAUUCAUUGCGAAUUUCAAUAGAUUUUUUUUUGUUUUUUUAUUUUAAUUUAGUGUUAAAAGUGAGUAGAAAGGUGUUUAAGUAGGUCAAUAAUUAUGGUGCAUUGCUGUGUGGUUGGCUGUAAGAGUCGCAGUGAGCGUAAAUUAGAAAACAUAACCUUUCAUUCAUUCCCAAAAGACACUUUACUGCGUGAUUCAUGGAUUAAAUCUACAGGUCGAAGAAAUUGGACUCCAGGAAAAAACACACGCAUUUGUUCUAAACAUUUUGAUACAAAUAGCCUACGAAGAACUCAGCAUAUGACAUUCUUAAAUGCAUCUUCAGUUCCAACACUAUUUAUACACGUAAAUAAAUAAAUCAAUUAUUUAUACUUUAAGGAA